AUGGACAGUUGUGCAGGUUGGACUUUGUACGAGCUUGUCUGGCAGGGAUACAUGGGAUUAAUAUCCAGCCCAGACCUUGCAGGCACAUAUGUUCCACCUCCAGCUCCACCCAGCAAGGAGGAAGAGCAGGAUACAAGGCCUUGCACGGUGCUUGCACACACCACUUCUGCCAGCAUCCCAAGGACAAGAACUCAGGUCCACAGCAGCAUCUGGCUGCAGUGGAGGCCAAGCACUGCCCACUUCGUUUCCAGCAGCCAUGCGCGCAGCAGAAAAUCGGAGGUGUUUCCAUUAAGAGGCCACAGGAUGCGCUGUUGGGUGGAAGGUGGAGUGCGCAUGAGAAGCGUCGAAGACUCGAUGACUCCACUGGGGCUGAGAAACAAAGAGUGAAGCAACCUUUUCCAGAGAGGGGAAAGCGUGCAAAAGGAGCAAGGAAGGGUUGUGGCUCAAAUAUGCUAUAUUUGAGUUUGUGAAAGAUGAAGAAAGAAAGAAAGAAAGAAAGAAAGAAAGAAAGAAAGAAGGAAGGAAGAGAGAAAGUGGACUGAGUACCAGUGGUGUCCUCAGCACUCUGCUAGGCACAGUUGCAUGGGUUACCACUUUUACAGUCAACACAGCAGGGAAGAGCUGCAUCUGCCCGAGUCGCCAGCACCAUCUUCAGUGACGUCAUCACGUAACAGCAAGGAUGUCUCCUAAAGAGAGAAGGCCCACCAGUGGAGCUCCGUAAGCAGACUCCAGAUAACAGCAAUGGGGAACCAGCAUGGAGUGGUCAUCAGGCAUUGUCACCCACAGUUCUAUCCAAACCUGGGACUCGAUGUGUCCAAAUCAUACCAUUCUAGAACUGUACAGCAGCCUUCCCCUCAUCAAAAUGUCAGCACAUGUAGCACAUUAUGCCAGCAGGAAUGACAGCAUGCAAUUAUGCUGAGGUCAGACUGCCAUGAACGAAAUUGGGCUCCAUUACUACCAAUCAUACUAUAUGCCUAUUUCCUCAUCUGUAAGGUAGGAGUAGCAAUAGAUGUACUCAUUCUAAAAUCCAGUUACAGUGUUUCAAUACCAUCUGGACCAUAGUAAGUGCUCAUUAAAUGUUAGCAUUUAUUCAGUUCAAUCAACUCUUACAUACUGUGCCACCCGGGACCCAUGCGUAUCUGUUUGGCCCACUCUCACACACAAAAUCAGACUAAUUCCAUCUAGAAAGAGUGGGCUUAGGCCUUGGAGACUGAGCUACUCUAAUGGGGGUACAGCAGCACCAGCCAAACUGGCCCCCUUUCUGCUCCAUGAGUUGGCCCGUCCACCUUGGCCAAUGUGCAAAAAUGUUUGUGGCGAACUCAUUUGUUUUCCUUUCUGUUAGGUCGGCCUUCCAAAGGCAAAGAACUGCUGAAAUUAACCCAAGGCAGGGGCCAGUGGAGCAGACGGGGUCUGGGCUAGAGCCAGGCGUAAUGAAGUGGAAAAUGUUCACACCACAGGCAGCAUUACAAUGCACCUGUACAAACAGAACUCAGCCUGCCAUCCCUUCCUUCGGGGCCCAGCUGCCUCUCGGACUACUCUUUUAUGGCUUCACUCCUGGCCAUGCCUGGUCAACGUCAAGGUCUCUAAUGAAGAUAAGAGACAAAGGCCUCCAGAGAAGAGCUGGUAGAGAUGGAACAGAAGAGACGAAAAUGAGCAAAGGUACGCUCAGCACAGACAUCUCCUGAAAGUUCUGGGGAGUUCUCUGAAGACCAUGUUACCUAAAACAGGGAAGAACUACAGCACAGCUCAUGAAGAUUGAAGUUACGUGGCAAGAUUGAGGUAGAAAACUUUCACAUUGCUUGGCUCACUUCCCACACCCAUAUGAUCAGGCUCCAUUCUGCAGACAAGGAAACUGAGGCCCAGGGAGACAAAGCCAGCAGGUGACCAUGUCAAGAUUCAAGCCCAGGAACCAUGAUUUGUCUUCUGUACUCAGACCAGUGUUGAGUGAUGUUCUCAAAGCCACGCAGCUAUCAAGUGGGAAGCUGGAAGUCCUGGUGUGGUGGUUACUGCUCCACUAGGCAGCAGGAAGAGAACUUGGGGACAUCAAGGCCAGGCUGUCCUGAAGACUAGGCCAGUGAAGACAAGGGGCCUGGGUUUCCCCAGAGCAAGGCCUGUGGACCACAGUGCUACCAUGAGGGAAGAUGGGGAAAAGACAAACCAUAGUUCUUGACAUAGUGUGGCUCUACGUCUCCCAAUUUCACAAGGGCUCAGUUUGUCCCUCCCUGAGAUGGACCUUCCAUGGGCACUAAAUAGAAGGACUUUGUAAGGCACUUCCAAGGUCUAUUGCUCUUCACUCCUCUCAGACUCAACCUUAAGUCACACCCAACUCUAAUUGUCAUAACCAGAAGCUUUCUUACCACCAUGGGGGGCGGAGGGACAAAGGUCAAAAGUAGACAUCAUUACAACUGCCACAUACCUGGCCCUCACCUCUCAUUGCCAUCUUCUUAAACAUCAGUGGUUAGGGGCAUAAAGAGAGGGAAUGGAGAUAGUUACUCCCCACAGGGAGUCUGACAUAUAGCAGGCCCUCAGUGAUCACUAACACCUUUGACAAGCUAUGGGUUCUUUGCAGAUCAGAACCUGCUGCUUUAUAGCAUCCAAUCAUAGUGUCAUGCAGCCUGCAGUAACUGCCUAGUGAAUGCCUGUCUGUUGAGUGCAGGAGCUUUUCCGUCGCUCCCAUCCUCCUGGUUUAGGCAACAUCCAGGACUGUGUUUGGGCCUUUCUAAAUGCCCUGGGGCCAGUUUGACGCACAUCUCCCGGGGUGCCUCAUGGCUUCUCAGAGUUCAACCUCACCUAAUUCAAACUUAGCAGUAAGCUAUGUUUGCCAUUCUUCAUGGUUGAUGUUUAUAUGGCUGCUCUGAACUUUUAUAAUUAUUACUGUUUAAUUUAAAAAGAAGUUUAAAUUUUGCAAUGUACAAAAAAGUCAAGAUUGCCAUGUUUUGGUAAAAUGCUUCAUUCUUCAGUUUUCCCCAUUCGAUACACUUUCUCUGGUCCCUAUGUGGUAGGCAGCAUAAGGACCUCACUGUCCCUGGAGAAACAGACAUUGAAAUAAGCACAUUUAAUACAUUAUGAUUCCUGAAAUACUGAAAACUGCAGAGAGAAACUAGUUACAAGUGUGGAGAGUUAGCCUCCAUUUUGUCUUGAAAAGUGUUUAUCUAAGCCGGUAAUGCCAUAUACCAUAUGGCCCUAACUGCAUCAAGUGGCCUCCAUCUUCAGGGCUGAGGAGGUCCAAAGACAUGGCCUGUUUUCUUCCUGCAUCUUGAGGGAAUAAACAGAUGAGUACAGUUUAGGGCAAGAUUUCCCAAGUCAAUUCUACUACCUUAUGGGCAGGGCCAUGUUGGAAUAAGUCAAGGUUCUAGUAGAAAAUUAACGCCAGAAGAUCAGGAGGAUACCACAGGAUGAAAGAAAAGAAUCUCUCUCUCUCUCUCUCUCUCUCUCUCUCUCUCUCUCUCUGCAGAUUUCCCUCAUCUUUGUGAUUCUUACUGAAACCUGGAAGUAACUCUUUCAAGAAAGAGUUUAAGUGAUUUCAAGAGCACCCAGCCAGGGCAGGUGUUUCCCGUGGCUAGGAGGACACUCCUACUCCUUCAUGCUCCUGCUUGAGCAUCCCUUCUCUAAUUUACUGUGAGGCUCUUGACCACAGUAGCACUUCCUAUGACCAUCCUCUAGUGGCAGCAAGUUUCACAAGACAUAUGAUAUGUCGUCUUCAACCUUAUAGUUCUAGUAGGCGAGUGUCCUGACCAGCCCAAAGUAAGUGCUUCAUAAGUAUUUGUCAUCUGAAUAGAUGACUGAGUGGAUGAAUAAUGCCACGUUCAUUUACAAGCGCACUGUGGUUUUAUCUUUCUCGGAAAUAUUAUAACCCACUUGCUCCUAAACAGAUUUUUCAAAAUCACAUUCUAUGAAAUGUUACCAAUUCAUGAGAUAAUUUUACUGAACUAAUAAAAAGUUAAAAAAUAAGAAAUAGGGAUUCUUUUUGUUUUCAAACAAAAUUUAUCACAUAUACAUAAGAAGAGUUCAUUACCGUCACAGUG
This is a long non-coding RNA of Heterocephalus glaber (naked mole-rat), 4025 nucleotides long. The record is from Ensembl. Lineage: Eukaryota; Metazoa; Chordata; Mammalia; Rodentia; Bathyergidae.